AUACGGAGGGUGCAAGCGUUAAUCGGAAUUACUGGGCGUAAAGCGCGCGUAGGCGGUUUGGUCAGUUGGAUGUGAAAGCCCAGGGCUCAACCUUGGAACUGCAUUCAAUACUGCCAGGCUAGAGUACGGUAGAGGGAGGUAGAAUUCCACGUGUAGCGGUGAAAUGCGUAGAGAUGUGGAGGAAUACCAGUGGCGAAGGCGGCCUCCUGGAUCGAUUCUGACGCUAAGGUGCGAAAGCGUGGGGAGCAAACAGGAUUAGAAACCCCUGUAGUCC
RNAcentral lists this ribosomal RNA (274 nucleotides) under uncultured bacterium. RNAcentral describes it as "partial 16S ribosomal RNA". It matches the Rfam family "Bacterial small subunit ribosomal RNA", at positions 523 to 796 of the family's 1533-position model. The record is from RNAcentral.